RNAcentral lists this ribosomal RNA (451 nucleotides) under uncultured prokaryote. Its description in RNAcentral is "bacterial SSU rRNA". It matches the Rfam family "Bacterial small subunit ribosomal RNA", at positions 355 to 796 of the family's 1533-position model. The record is from RNAcentral.
UCGAGAGGCUUCCGCAAUGGGGGAAACCCUGACGGAGCGACGCCGCGUGAGGGAUGACGGCUUUCGGGUUGUAAACCUCUUUCAGGUGGGAAGAAAAGUUACGGAGUGAAUAAUUCCGUAGCCGUGACGGUACCACCAGAAGAAGCUCCGGCUAACUCCGUGCCAGCAGCCGCGGUAACACGGGGGGAGCGAGCGUUGUUCGGAUUCAUUGGGCGUAAAGGGCGCGUAGGCGGUUUGGCAAGUCCGACGUGAAAUGUACCGGUUCAACCGGGGCGCUGUGUCGGAAACUGCCUUACUUGAGGUCGAGGGAGGAAAGUGGAAUUCCUGGUGUAGCGGUGAAAUGCGUAGAUAUCAGGAGGAACACCCGUGGCGAAGGCGGCUUUCUAUCUCGAAUCUGACGCUGAGGCGCGAAAGCUAGGGGAGCAAACGGGAUUAGAUACCCCCGUAGUCC